UGGUUAUGAUGCCACGACCCAGUGUCCUUUAUACUUGCUUGACUCUCUGGUCUGCAACUGACGCUGAGGCUCGAAAGCAUGGGUAGCGAACAGGAUUAGAUACCCUGGUAGUCCAUGCCCCUUAUGAUGUGGGCUAAGUGUUGGAGGGUUUCCGCCCCUCAGUGCUGCAGCUAACGCAUUAAGCACUCCGCCUGGGGAGUACGACCGCAAGGUUGAAACUCAAAGGAAUUGACGGGGGCCCGCACAAGCGGUGGAGCAUGUGGUUUAAUUCGAAGCAACGCGAAGAACCUUACCAGGUCUUGACAUCUUGUGCAAAGUGUAGAAAUAAGGCGUUCCCUUCGGGGACGAUAGGAGAGGGGGGGCAUGUGUGUCGCCACCUCGGGUGGGGAGAUGUUGGGUUAAGCCCCCCAACGAGCGCAACCUUUGUUAUUAGUGGCCAGCAUUAUGUGGGGCACUCUAGAGAGACUGCCGGGGAAAAACCGGAGAAGGGGGGGGAAGACACCAAAUCUUCUUGCCCCUUAUGACUGGGG
Molecule: ribosomal RNA, 530 nt
Filed under: uncultured Lactobacillales bacterium
Lineage: Bacteria; Bacillati; Bacillota; Bacilli; Lactobacillales
Description: partial 16S ribosomal RNA
Rfam family: Bacterial small subunit ribosomal RNA
Source: RNAcentral